GACGAACGCUGGCGGCGUGCCUAAUACAUGCAAGUCGAACGAGGUCCAUCCAGUGGCAACACUGGUGAAGACCUAGUGGCGAACGGGUGAGUAACACGUGAGAAACCUGCCCCGAAGACCGGGAUAACCCUCCGAAAGGAGAGCUAAUACCGGAUACCCCCACCGAACCGCAUGGCUCGGUGAGGAAAUGGAUUCCGCUUCGGGAGGGUCUCGCGGCCUAUCAGCUUGUUGGCGGGGUAACGGCCCACCAAGGCAUUGACGGGUAGCUGGUCUGAGAGGACGAUCAGCCACACUGGGACUGAGACACGGCCCAGACUCCUACGGGAGGCAGCAGUAGGGAAUCUUGCGCAAUGGGCGAAAGCCUGACGCAGCAACGCCGCGUGGGGGAUGAAGGCUCUCGGGUUGUAAACCCCUUUCAGUGGGGACGAAUCAAGACGGUACCC
This 443-nucleotide ribosomal RNA is filed under the name Acidimicrobidae bacterium Ellin7133. Its description in RNAcentral is "bacterial SSU rRNA". It matches the Rfam family "Bacterial small subunit ribosomal RNA", at positions 28 to 480 of the family's 1533-position model. Lineage: Bacteria; Bacillati; Actinomycetota; Acidimicrobiia. The record is from RNAcentral.